GAUGAACGCUAGCUACAGGCUUAACACAUGCAAGUCGAGGGGCAGCGGUAUCGAAAGCUUGCUUUCGGUAGCCGGCGACCGGCGCACGGGUGAGUAACGCGUAUCGAACCUGCCUCAUACUCGGGAAUAGCCUUGCGAAAGUAAGAUUAAUGCCCGGUGUUUUCAGAGUCCCGCAUGAGGCUUUGAACAAAGAUUUAUCGGCAUGAGAUGGCGAUGCGUCCCAUUAGCUUGUUGGCGGGGUAACGGCCCACCAAGGCAUCGAUGGGUAGGGGUUCUGAGAGGAAGGUCCCCCACAUUGGAACUGAGACACGGUCCAAACGCCUACGGGAGGCAGCAGUGAGGAAUAUUGGUCAAUGGGCGGAAGCCUGAACCAGCCAAGUAGCGUGCAGGAAGACGGCCCUCCGGGUUGUAAACUGCUUUUAGUUGGGAAUAAAACGGGGCUCGUGAGCCCCCUUGCAUGUACCAUCAGAAAAAGGACCGGCUAAUUCCGUG
RNAcentral lists this ribosomal RNA (492 nucleotides) under uncultured bacterium. Its description in RNAcentral is "partial 16S ribosomal RNA". It matches the Rfam family "Bacterial small subunit ribosomal RNA", at positions 28 to 507 of the family's 1533-position model. The record is from RNAcentral.